AUGGAGAUGCUGCUCUCGACAAGGACGAUGAUGAUGACAUGGAGAACGUGCAACACGACACCGACGAUGAUGAACAUGUUGAAGUUUGUGCAGGUGGUAAAAAGGGCAAGGUUGCACCAGAUGUCCCCUCACCGGAGAAAGUCAAAGAACAUACAGCUGAGAGAGGCAAGGGGGUGUCGCCCUCAAAGAGGGGGAGGGCUCCAGAGGAUGUUGGGCAGGGCUCUCCUGGCAACAGGUCUUGGACCGAUCCCUUAG
RNAcentral lists this ribosomal RNA (255 nucleotides) under Triticum aestivum (bread wheat). RNAcentral describes it as "partial small subunit ribosomal RNA". Lineage: Eukaryota; Viridiplantae; Streptophyta; Magnoliopsida; Poales; Poaceae. The record is from RNAcentral.